Molecule: long non-coding RNA, 1404 nt
Organism: Liolophura sinensis
Lineage: Eukaryota; Metazoa; Mollusca; Polyplacophora; Chitonida; Chitonidae
Exons: 3
Source: RefSeq, a predicted model, not a curated record
UGUGACCGUGAAUCGAGAAAGAACAGAAUUAACCACCACUCAGACCCAUCACCAGUAUUCCUGACAGUUGUCCAGCGGCCAGUGUCACUCCAAGCAGCAACCCAUCAUGGACAGAGCUAGCAGGCUGGUUUUGCUGUUGUUUCUUAUGACUGCCGUAGCACAAGUCUACAGCUUAUACAACGUGAGAGAGAAGAGGGCAGCUGGACUGCACUCCUGGGACGGCCUUCUCAGAAACACAAAUCAAUUACACCGACGACAAGACUACGGCAAAAAUCCUAUGAACUGGGAACAAAUUUGGAAGCUAAAAGCCCUGCUUGACCAAGUUGGGCGAAGAAAAUGAGUGUAAAAUAUCUGGUGCCACCACAAGAGGGCUAGCAUUACUAGCAGUUAUACGGGGCUAUCGAGAACUAUGCCGAUUCCCACCGAUCAACAACUUACGGCAACAGGACAUUUACUCAGGAGGGUAAAAAAAAUAACUGCACGACAAGUAAAGGCCCAAGAAAAUAACAGAGAAAUUCUUUAUUAAAGAUCUGCCUAACCAAUAACUUAAGAAAAUCCUAAAGUAUAAAGCAAAAAUAGGUGUAUUUUAUGUUUAAUUAAUCAAAGUAGUUUGUAGGAAAAAUGUGUUCCACAAAGGAAUGUUAGUGCAGAAUUGAUCUCAACUAUAUGUAUGUAUGGGUUUGAAUUAAGAUAGUCAUUGCACAAACAAAUGCAGUCUUGACAAAAUGAACCAUAAAUACAGACAUUUCUGAAAUCAUACAAUCACUAUAUGCAUGUUUGUGUAUCAAGCUAGAAAGACACUUGUCAACGUUGUAUGCUCAGUGGCAUCUCAAGAAGCUAAAAGUCUAUUUAACUGCAUAUUCAAUAAACAUUGAAAUCAGAGAAACUAGAACAUACACUUUAACUUUUAUUUAAAUAUUGUGGAGUCUUGUUGAAAAAUACUUUUUAUUGGCAAGGGGAACCAUUUUAUUGUAUAUUUGUACAAGGUGUCAACAAGUUUAUUAAACAUGUAAUAUUAUCAAAAGUUUGACCAUCAUUAUGUAAAUGAAAGUGCAUUCUGUUUGACGUUGUAGAAAACAUCUGUUUGAAGAUUCAUACACCAUUACAUGAAAAUUGUUCUUUAGCACUAUGAUCACCUUUGAUAAAAUCCCAAAAUGUCCACUGAUUGUAGUUAAGUUGAUUUUGGAUCUAAAAUCAUUCAUACGAAUCCCUCUUAUGUGAUUCUGAACAUUAACAAAGACAAAAAUUUUACUGUCCAAUCUCCUCUUCUGAAAAAAAAUUUUGGUUCAUGUCACUGCUGGCUUAUCAUUGUACUUCAGACUUCAAAUGGAAUAGAUGUAAAACAAUAAAAGGUACAAAUAAACAAUUCCAUGUACUGUUUUCAAUAGUUAAUUAAGAUUUAAG